CGUGACCAACCUGCCCCAUGCUCCAGAAUAGCUCUUGGAAACGGGUGGUAAUGNCUGGAUGCUCCAACUUGACGCAUGUCUUGUUGGAAAGUGUUUAGUGGCAUGGGAUGGGGUCGCGUCCUAUCAGCUUGUAGGCGGGGUAAUGGCCCACCUAGGCUUCGACGGGUAGCCGGCCUGAGAGGGCGGACGGCCACAUUGGGACUGAGAUACGGCCCAGACUCCUACGGGAGGCCAGCAGGA
Molecule: ribosomal RNA, 240 nt
Filed under: uncultured Gardnerella sp.
Lineage: Bacteria; Bacillati; Actinomycetota; Actinomycetes; Bifidobacteriales; Bifidobacteriaceae
Description: partial 16S ribosomal RNA
Rfam family: Bacterial small subunit ribosomal RNA
Source: RNAcentral